UGACCCAAAUACAAGUCAGAAGUGCUUGUG
This 30-nucleotide non-coding RNA is filed under the name Mus musculus (house mouse). Lineage: Eukaryota; Metazoa; Chordata; Mammalia; Rodentia; Muridae. The record is from RNAcentral.